AUUGAACGCUGGCGGCAGGCCUAACACAUGCAAGUCGAGCGGAUGAAGGGAGCUUUCUCCUGGAUUCAGCUGCGGACGGGUGAGUAAUUCCUAGGAAUCUGCCUUGUAUUGUGGUAUAACGUCCGGAAACGGGCGCUAAUACCGCAUACGUCCUGAUGGUGAAAGUGGGGGAUCUUCGGACCUCACGCUAUCAUAUGAGCCUAGGUCGGAUUAGCUAGUUGGUGGGGUAAAGGCCUACCAAGGCGACGAUCCGUAACUGGUCUGAGAGGAUGAUCAGUCACACUGGAACUGAGACACGGUCCAGACUCCUACGGGAGGCAGCAGUGGGGAAUAGUGGACAAUGGGCGAAAGCCUGAUACAGCCAUGCCGCGUGUGUGAAGAAGGUCUUCGGAUUGUAAAGCACUUUAAGUUGGGAGGAAGGGAAGUAAGUUAAUACCUUGCUGUUUUGACGUUACCAAAAGAAUAAGCACCGGCUAACUUCGUG
RNAcentral lists this ribosomal RNA (484 nucleotides) under uncultured bacterium. RNAcentral's name for it is "partial 16S ribosomal RNA". It matches the Rfam family "Bacterial small subunit ribosomal RNA", at positions 30 to 507 of the family's 1533-position model. The record is from RNAcentral.